AGCAUUUGACAGUGUGUGCACAGGGGAAUUAAGUGAUUUUCCCUGCCUCUGUGGACUGAGAUGGGGCCAAAAGAGGGAGACUGUUUUCCCUUUGCUUGCAGUGUUCUUUCCAAAGUGAAUAAAGAAGGUUCCUCAUUUAAUUGCUGACUGGAAAUUGACUGAAACUGGGAGUGGAAGCCAAACUGUUUGGUCCAGAGAUGGUACAGAUUCUUGGGUACAGAGAUGGGGCAAGCAGGGUCACCUGCUAUUUUCAGUGGCGCCAUGGAUUUCUGGAAGAGGAUUGAAACUGGGAGACUAAAGAAGCAUAGACAAGACUAUAUGGAGGAGCUGGAUUUCAAGGCGGGACUUUCAGCUGGGACCAGUGUGAUCAUCAAUGAUAGAAAAAGGAAAAAUUGCAGAUGACUCUUACAAAAGGUAUAGUAUUUCUGUUCAGUUACCAAAGGCUUCGACAUAAUUUAUGUUCAAAAAUAGAUUCUGUAUUAAAGUCCUUUACUUUUAAAAUGAUCUACAUUUUGAUACCACCAUAGAUUCUAAUUGCUACUUUCACAAAAUACAUGCAGAAGGCUAAAUUUACGAGGUGCUGCAGUACCUAAUUCUUAGUUGCCUGUCACUCAGAAAGGCACCUAGAGAACUGACAUAAGUGUGUAGGUUCUGUCUGAAAUAUAUGAGAUGAUUUAGGCAGUGGAACAGGCCAGAAAAACCUAAAGCAAUGACAAGACCUUUAGAGCUAACAUGCUGGGAACACUAAUUCCUGGCAUUUAUCUGAAACCUUGCUCCUUUUUGGAGUUAGUGUGCUUGAAUUGGGACAUCUAGCAGAUAGAUACCCUGCUCGCUGGGGAGCCAGGACCUGGAAUCCUUGAAGAAAUUUUCUGUACCUGUUCCUUCUGAGAAUUUGAGCAGGACUUACUCUUUAUUGUUUGAGUCUUGUUGAGUUCUUUUUUGAGCAGGACUUACUCUUUAUUGUUUGAGUCUUGUUGAGUUCUUUUUUAAGUGUACCUAGGCAGAGAAAAGGAUGUGGAGGUAGAAAGGAGGCUACUUUUUCGCCCUUUUUAACAGGCUAGACCUCAAUGCUUGCUUCAGCUCUUAGGUUGGCAUCCUAAGCACCAUAAUAUCAUUGAAGCUUGACAGAUGAAUUUCUCCCUCUUUCUGUUGCAUCUGGCCCUCUGCAUAUGAAAAAAACAAAGAGAGAGAGAAAAGAAAGGAGAUGAAACAAGACCUUGCGAUC
RNAcentral lists this long non-coding RNA (1225 nucleotides) under Struthio camelus australis. Its description in RNAcentral is "lncRNA (ENSSCUG00000016518.1)". Lineage: Eukaryota; Metazoa; Chordata; Aves; Struthioniformes; Struthionidae. The record is from RNAcentral.